This 467-nucleotide ribosomal RNA is filed under the name uncultured bacterium. RNAcentral's name for it is "partial 16S ribosomal RNA". It matches the Rfam family "Bacterial small subunit ribosomal RNA", at positions 28 to 507 of the family's 1533-position model. The record is from RNAcentral.
GAUGAACGCUGGCGGCGUGCUUAACACAUGCAAGUCGAACGAUGAUGCCCAGCUUGCUGGGUGGAUUAGUGGCGAACGGGUGAGUAACACGUGAGUAACCUGCCCUUGACUCUGGGAUAAGCCUGGGAAACUGGGUCUAAUACCGGAUACGACCAUCUGGCGCAUGUCAUGGUGGUGGCAGGCUUUUGUGGUUUUGGAUGGACUCGCGGCCUAUCAGCUUGUUGGUGGGGUAAUGGCCUACCAAGGCGACGACGGGUAGCCGGCCUGAGAGGGUGACCGGCCACCCUGGGACUGAGACACGGCCCAGACUGCUACGGGAGGCAGCGGUGGGGAAUAUUGCACAAUGGGCGCAAGCCUGAUGCAGAGACGCCGCGUGAGGGAUGACGGCCUUCGGGUUGUAAACCUCUUUCAGUAGGGAAGAAGCGAAAGUGACGGUACCUGCAGAAGAAGCGCCGGCUAACUACGUG